GACGAACGCUGGCGGCGUGCUUAACACAUGCAAGUCGAACGGAAAGGCCCUGCUUUUGUGGGGUGCUCGAGUGGCGAACGGGUGAGUAACACGUGAGUAACCUGCCCUUGACUUUGGGAUAACUUCAGGAAACUGGGGCUAAUACCGGAUAGGAGCUCCUGCUGCAUGGUGGUGGUUGGAAAGUUUCGGCGGUUGGGGAUGGACUCGCGGCUUAUCAGCUUGUUGGUGGGGUAGUGGCUUACCAAGGCUUUGACGGGUAGCCGGCCUGAGAGGGUUACCGGCCACAUUGGGACUGCGGUACGGCCCAGAAUCCUACGGGAGGCAGCAGUGGGGAAUAUUGCGCAAUGGGCGGAAGCCUGAUGCAGCAACGCCGCGUGCGGGAUGACGGCCUUCGGGUUGUAAACCGCUUUCGCCUGUGACGAAGCGUGAGUGACGGUAAUGGGUAAAGAAGCACCGGCUAACUACGUG
Molecule: ribosomal RNA, 468 nt
Filed under: uncultured bacterium
Lineage: Bacteria
Description: partial 16S ribosomal RNA
Rfam family: Bacterial small subunit ribosomal RNA
Source: RNAcentral